Long non-coding RNA from Arachis duranensis, 2328 nucleotides. RefSeq lists it as uncharacterized. The transcript is spliced from 3 exons. The record is from RefSeq and is a predicted model, not a curated record. NCBI's taxonomy places the organism in Eukaryota, Viridiplantae, Streptophyta, Magnoliopsida, Fabales, Fabaceae.
GAGACGCCUUGGGAUGGUGGUUAGCUUCUAUGCCAGUUGCUUUCUUACAGUGAGUCAGAGUUCAACAGCAACCACUUUAAGAUGGUGUUUUGCUCUUAAUAGGAAGCUUGCAGACAAGAUUGCAGCUUCUGGUUACUAUGUGGUUGUUUCGGACUUCUUUUAUGGUGAACCCUAUGAUCCUCAGAAUACUAAUAGACCUUUAGGAAUUGAGAGUUAGUGAUGGAAUGGGUGUAAAGUCUUUAAUGCAACUCGUGUUAGUGAUUAGAUAAAUAAAAUAAAAUAGAAUAGAAGUUACUCACAUAAAUGUUUGAUAAGCAAUAAGCAAUAAGCUACUUUGGACUUGUCUCAGCUACCAAUAAGGUUAGAAAUCAGUAUCGUUUGUCCAUAUAUGUAUUUGUUGCUGCAAAUCAAUGGCUUAUUGAAUUCUGUUUUUUGCUGCAGUUUUUCUCAUCAAAUGGUUUUUCUUGUCCAAGUCUCUAGAAUCCUCCUGAUCACUUUGUAAAAAUUAUUAACAAGGAUUUUGAAUAGGUAGGUAGAAUAUGAAUCACUCUAAGAUCUUUACUGAACAACAAUUUAUUUUAAAGGUUACAAUGAUAGGUAGAAUAAAAAUCACUCUAAUAUCUUUCUUGUUUUGCUUGAUGGAUUAAGUCUAGGUAUAGCUUGCCACUUAUUUUAUGCCUUCAACUUUCUCUGAUUUCUCAUUCAUAUGAAGGUAAACAAAAACAACCCUCCUACCCCCAAAACACACAUUCAUUCAUAUGAAUGAAAUUUAUGGAAUGAAAACAUGAGGUGGAGAUGCUUUGAUGUAAAAUACUUGCUAUAUAAGUAGACAAGCAUUUGAUUUUAAAUAACUGCAUUAUUAUUGAUCAUGAUAGUUUAGGUAAGUUAGUUUUAGUUUUAGGCCUGUAAUAUUUUAUAUGUACUCAAAUUGAUUCUUAACAUAUUAAAAUAACUUGCUGGAGGUGAAGGGUUGGAUCAAAAAAUUAAAAAAAAAAGACCUGUUAGAGCUGUAGGAAAUAGAGUCACGACUGGUGAAAGAGAUGUGAAACGAUCUGCUCUUCCAAAGGCAAAUGCUGGUUCGAAGAUGUGUUUUUAUGAUACACAGGGUUUCAGGUAGUUUGUCUUGUUAUAGAUUUUAGGACUUAGGUUUUAGUUGUCAUGCUAAUACUGACUAAAUAGUUUUUUCGAGGAUUUAUUAGAUUUUUCAUCAAUGAUGAUAUAUAUGGAGUAAUUUCACACACUGGUUUUCAUCCAACAGAAUUUGUUAAUGGUAGAAAAUAUCAUAUGAAUGAUUCUAUGCUUUUUUAUGUAUGUUAAAACUGAAUGGAUCAUGGUCAUGGUAUUGAAUCAACGUCACUGUUAUAGGGUUGAGUUUGCUUUUUUGUGUUGUUAUUGUUGUUGGAGGAACAUGCUUGAGAGAUUGCCUCGCUUCAGUAUUGUUAUGCUUGCCAUGUAUUUGAUGAAUUUCCUGAGAGAGAUGGAAAAGAGCGAAACUUAUUUUCUGUGUUUCCUUUUCCCAAUUCACAAGAUUUAGGUACUUUUCCUCUUGGAUUGCUUAUGAAAUUGGGUGUAAGUUUUCUCAUGUUUUGCAUUUGUGAUUGGUAGUAUUUUUCCUUGCUUGAAGUUGUUAGUUAUUAUUAAACCACUGUUUUGUGCCUAAUAUAAUUGAUGAGUACUACUUGUAUGUACUACUUCAUGACCAAUAAACUUUCUUAUAUUAGAUGACCAAUUCUGCCUUUUGUUAUUACUGAGGACCAGAAAACUGCCAUGGCCAAGGCUUCUAAGGCAUGUGCCUUUCUCAAGAGAUGUCCUUCACUAACACUGCUGAUGUCCUUUUUCUGCCUCCCUUAUCAGCUUAUACAUUGGCAUAUAUAUUGCCCUUGUUGAAUUGCUAUAUGCUGUCUUAUUUAGUGACCAACUACUAUUUUACUGACCAAUAAUAUUCAAUAGGAUUAGCUGACAUUAGCUAUCCUUCCAAACAUGGCUAAGACUUAAAAGUAUAUAGAUUACAGUUAACUUAAAAUCUCUACUGUUUUACUGGAAAGGAUAAUUGAUGCUACAAUUUGACUUUUUCCCCUUCUAACCAGGGGAAGCUAUUUUCAAAUUCUGAAUCAAUAAAAAAGAGAGCUGAAGCUGCAGUGCUCUUUAAGCAGUUGGAAUAUCCAAUUUUACUGCAUUGCAUAUGUUUGAUGCUUACUGCUCUGUUCAGAACUUCUGCUAUAGAGGAUAGUUCAAUUGAUUUUGGAGACUUCUUUAAAGGUCCAUUACCAAGAAAGUUUCUCAAGCUUUUAGGGUUUCUUGCCUUGUCAUGUCUUGGUGUGUAUAUUC